AACAACUCCAGUGCAACCUCACAGGGAAACGCUUUUCUAUUAAUCUUUGAUUUUCGGUGCUAUGAGUUCCUGGCACUUCAGCACUUCAUGAAGAAGCAAUGCUGCAGAAAGAGUGUUGGGGGAUGUGAAGGACUGAGAGACCUGGGCUAUCAUCCCAAUUUCAUCACUGUAAUUUCCAGGUGACCCUGGGCAGGUAACUGAAAAAAAAAAAUCGUUCUUACCAUGGCAACCUCCGUGCUGGCUCCAGAAAAUGCCAUUUCUUAUUGUGCUUUGGUAUACUGAACGUCAAUGGAACAUUUCUGUAGAGAUCAAUUUUUUUAAGUAAUCAUCUUUUUUAUAUAUGUUAUUUAACUCCUAUCCUUCAAUGCACCAACAUUCUUAAAUGGCAAAUGAAAAUUGCGCUUUCCCAGUAGAGUGAAGUAAUUCUUAAACCAGGGCUUCCAACAGGUUGAGGGAAUGUGAAUUGGUUUUCUCGCUGGACCCAGGUGAUAUUUCUUCUGUAUUUAUGAAAGCAAGGAGGCUGCUGUCCCCUUGCAGAACCAAGCCACCCAAGCCUCUAAGAGCAUGAAAGCAGCCUGCUAGGAAGGAGAUGGGGUAUAGCAAAAUAAAUGUUAUUACGAAUUUUAGCA
This is a long non-coding RNA of Herpailurus yagouaroundi (jaguarundi), 629 nucleotides long. RefSeq lists it as uncharacterized. The transcript has 3 exons. Lineage: Eukaryota; Metazoa; Chordata; Mammalia; Carnivora; Felidae. The record is from RefSeq and is a predicted model, not a curated record.